GGCUCUGUUCUCAAGUUGGGGCUCUUGGGAGGUGUACCGAGGGUUGUCGGGUUCCAAAAGCCGGGGCGGGGGGCCGCAGGCGGAGCCUGGUCUGCGGACCCGCACGCCGCGGAGUUGAGGUCUCCCUAUGCAUGGACAAGAAGCCGUUGCUUCUAGAAAAGGCGUAUGUGUCCCAAGCCAAUGGAAAGAAGACUUUCAGGACCCCCAGCUCUAUCUAAGCAUUACAGAUAAGAAGAAAGCUUGCUCUAAGAGGAGAGUUAAGGUGAGAGACUUUCAAGUAUGAAUACGCAGAACUCCAUCCAGCUGGAAAGAGAGCACACAGUUGCAUAUUUUAGUUGUGGGUCCUUCUAGUUGUGGCAUGUGGGACACCGCCUCAGGAUGGCCUAAUGAGCCGUGCCAUGUCCGUGGCCAGGAUCCGAACUGGCGAAAUCCUGGGCUGCCAAAGUGGAGCGCACGAACUUAACCACUCGGCCAUGGGGCCAGCCCUAGGAGCCAGCAUUUUUUUAAUGGAAUGUCAUGGAUUGGAGUGCAUCACAUUCCGCCCGUACAUAGUUGUAGAUUCUAGUUGCAAGUCCUUCUGAAGUGCUAUGUGGGAACACCACCUCAGCAUGGCUUGAUGAGCGGUGCCAUGUCCACACCCAGGAUCCAAACCAGCAAAACCCUGGGCAGCUGAAGCGGAGUGUAC
Molecule: long non-coding RNA, 685 nt
Filed under: Equus asinus (donkey)
Lineage: Eukaryota; Metazoa; Chordata; Mammalia; Perissodactyla; Equidae
Description: lncRNA (ENSEASG00005037233.1)
Source: RNAcentral